This 669-nucleotide ribosomal RNA is filed under the name Campylobacter jejuni. RNAcentral describes it as "bacterial SSU rRNA". It matches the Rfam family "Bacterial small subunit ribosomal RNA", at positions 866 to 1533 of the family's 1533-position model. Lineage: Bacteria; Pseudomonadati; Campylobacterota; Epsilonproteobacteria; Campylobacterales; Campylobacteraceae. The record is from RNAcentral.
GUACCGCCUGGGGAGUACGGUCGCAAGAUUAAAACUCAAAGGAAUAGACGGGGACCCGCACAAGCGGUGGAGCAUGUGGUUUAAUUCGAAGAUACGCGAAGAACCUUACCUGGGCUUGAUAUCCUAAGAACCUUUUAGAGAUAAGAGGGUGCUAGCUUGCUAGAACUUAGAGACAGGUGCUGCACGGCUGUCGUCAGCUCGUGUCGUGAGAUGUUGGGUUAAGUCCCGCAACGAGCGCAACCCACGUAUUUAGUUGCUAACGGUUCGGCCGAGCACUCUAAAUAGACUGCCUUCGUAAGGAGGAGGAAGGUGUGGACGACGUCAAGUCAUCAUGGCCCUUAUGCCCAGGGCGACACACGUGCUACAAUGGCAUAUACAAUGAGACGCAAUACCGCGAGGUGGAGCAAAUCUAUAAAAUAUGUCCCAGUUCGGAUUGUUCUCUGCAACUCGAGAGCAUGAAGCCGGAAUCGCUAGUAAUCGUAGAUCAGCCAUGCUACGGUGAAUACGUUCCCGGGUCUUGUACUCACCGCCCGUCACACCAUGGGAGUUGAUUUCACUCGAAGCCGGAAUACUAAACUAGUUACCGUCCACAGUGGAAUCAGCGACUGGGGUGAAGUCGUAACAAGGUAACCGUAGGAGAACCUGCGGUUGGAUCACCUCCUUUCUAGA